GAUGAAGAACGCAGCGAAAUGCGAUAAGUAAUGUGAAUUGCAGAAUUCAGUGAAUCAUCGAAUCUUUGAACGCACAUUGCGCCCGCCAGUAUUCUGGCGGGCAUGCCUGUUCGAGCGUCAUUUCAACCAUCAAGCCCCAGGCUUGUGUUGGGGACCUGCGGCUGCCGCAGGCCCUGAAAACCAGUGGCGGGCUCGCUGUCACACCGGGCGUAGUAGAUUUUAUCUCGCUCAGGGCGUGCUGCGGGUUCCGGCCGUUAAAAAGCCUUUUUUACCCAAGGUUGACCUCAGAUCAGGUAGGAAGACCCGCUGAACUUAAGCAUAUCAAUAAGCGGAGGA
This 336-nucleotide unclassified non-coding RNA is filed under the name soil metagenome. Its description in RNAcentral is "partial contains 5.8S ribosomal RNA, internal transcribed spacer 2, and large subunit ribosomal RNA". The stretch from base 1 to 120 matches the Rfam family "5.8S ribosomal RNA", at positions 35 to 154 of the family's 154-position model. The record is from RNAcentral.